RNAcentral lists this ribosomal RNA (137 nucleotides) under Pluteus fluminensis. Its description in RNAcentral is "partial large subunit ribosomal RNA". Lineage: Eukaryota; Fungi; Basidiomycota; Agaricomycetes; Agaricales; Pluteaceae. The record is from RNAcentral.
AAACGCUUGAAGUCAGUCGCAUUGGCUGGGGAUCAACCUUACUUGUGAGGUGUACUCUCUAGCCAAUGGGUCAGCAUCAAUUUUGACUGCUGGAAAAAGGUCUGGGGAAUGUGGCAUCUCCGGAUGUGUUAUAGCCU